Molecule: small RNA, 125 nt
Filed under: Marmota monax (woodchuck)
Lineage: Eukaryota; Metazoa; Chordata; Mammalia; Rodentia; Sciuridae
Source: RNAcentral
GCCGGGCCCAGUGGCGCACGCCUGUAAUCCCAGAGGCUCUGGAGGCUGAGGCAGGAGAAUCGCGAGUUCAAAGCCAGCCCUAGCAAAAGUGAAGUGCUAAGCAACUCAGUGAGACCCUGUCUCUA